GGAGGGGUGGCAGAGUGGUUUAAUGCACCGGUCUUGAAAACCGGCGUGGGUUUAUAGCUCACCCAGGGUUCAAAUCCCUGCUCCUCCGCCA
This 91-nucleotide transfer RNA is filed under the name Shewanella decolorationis. RNAcentral describes it as "tRNA-Ser". It matches the Rfam family "tRNA". Rfam says of the family: Transfer RNA (tRNA) molecules are approximately 80 nucleotides in length. Their secondary structure includes four short double-helical elements and three loops (D, anti-codon, and T loops). Lineage: Bacteria; Pseudomonadati; Pseudomonadota; Gammaproteobacteria; Alteromonadales; Shewanellaceae. RNAcentral also lists the same sequence under 7 other names. The record is from RNAcentral.